AGGUCUGCUCCACAGCAGGCAGCUUGCACCGCAUAGGUGAUCAACCAUAUAUCCUAAGCUCUCUCUAUUAUGAGAGUUUCCCAUUCAUCCUACGUGACGGUAGGGUUCUCCGUUUGUUGAUAUUUCUAUAUGAUUAUCAAGGGGAAUAUCUGCCAAUCUUUUCGCCUGUAUGCUAUACAAGCUUCUCUUCUUGGAUUAUUUGUCUCAGCUGUUUCUUCAUUUCAUUUUGUUUCUUGCCACUACACAGUACUGAUCAAUAGU
Molecule: long non-coding RNA, 261 nt
Filed under: Elaeis guineensis (African oil palm)
Lineage: Eukaryota; Viridiplantae; Streptophyta; Magnoliopsida; Arecales; Arecaceae
Description: long non-coding RNA (EGUI_LNC032382)
Source: RNAcentral